Molecule: ribosomal RNA, 902 nt
Filed under: Salmonella enterica
Lineage: Bacteria; Pseudomonadati; Pseudomonadota; Gammaproteobacteria; Enterobacterales; Enterobacteriaceae
Also listed under: 1 other name
Description: partial 23S ribosomal RNA
Rfam family: Bacterial large subunit ribosomal RNA
Source: RNAcentral
AGGGAAACCGAGUCUUAACUGGGCGUUAAGUUGCAGGGUAUAGACCCGAAACCCGGUGAUCUAGCCAUGGGCAGGUUGAAGGUUGGGUAACACUAACUGGAGGACCGAACCGACUAAUGUUGAAAAAUUAGCGGAUGACUUGUGGCUGGGGGUGAAAGGCCAAUCAAACCGGGAGAUAGCUGGUUCUCCCCGAAAGCUAUUUAGGUAGCGCCUCGUGAACUCAUCUUCGGGGGUAGAGCACUGUUUCGGCUAGGGGGUCAUCCCGACUUACCAACCCGAUGCAAACUGCGAAUACCGAAGAAUGUUAUCACGGGAGACACACGGCGGGUGCUAACGUCCGUCGUGAAGAGGGAAACAACCCAGACCGCCAGCUAAGGUCCCAAAGUCACAGUUAAGUGGGAAACGAUGUGGGAAGGCUCAGACAGCCAGGAUGUUGGCUUAGAAGCAGCCAUCAUUUAAAGAAAGCGUAAUAGCUCACUGGUCGAGUCGGCCUGCGCGGAAGAUGUAACGGGGCUAAACUGUGCACCGAAGCUGCGGCAGCGACGCUUAUGCGUUGUUGGGUAGGGGAGCGUUCUGUAAGCCUGCGAAGGUGUCCUGUGAGGGAUGCUGGAGGUAUCAGAAGUGCGAAUGCUGACAUAAGUAACGAUAAUGCGGGUGAAAAGCCCGCUCGCCGGAAGACCAAGGGUUCCUGUCCAACGUUAAUCGGGGCAGGGUGAGUCGACCCCUAAGGCGAGGCCGAAAGGCGUAGUCGAUGGGAAACGGGUUAAUAUUCCCGUACUUGGUGUUACUGCGAAGGGGGGACGGAGAAGGCUAUGUUGGCCGGGCGACGGUUGUCCCGGUUUAAGCGUGUAGGCUGGUUUUCCAGGCAAAUCCGGAAAAUCAAGGCUGAGGCGUGAUGACGA